CUGACCGUAAACGAUGCCAACUAGUGAUCCGCCGGCGGAUAUUUCGCCCUGGUGGGGAGCUUCCCGGAAACGAAAGUCUUCCGGUUCCGGGGGAAGUAUGGUUGCAAAGCUGAAACUUAAAGGAAUUGACGGAAGGGCACCACCAGGAGUGGAGCCUGCGGCUUAAUUUGACUCAACACGGGGAAACUCACCCGGCCCGGACACCGUGAGGAUUGACAGAUUGAAAGCUCUUUCUUGAUUCGGUGGUUGGUGGUGCAUGGCCGUUCUUAGUUCGUGGAGCGAUUUGUCUGGUUUAUUCCGAUAACGAGCGAGACUCUAGCUUACUAAAUAGUCUGGUCUUUAUUACUGAGGCCUGACUUCUUAGAGGGAUUUUCGGUGUUCAGCCGCACGAGAUUGAGCAAUAACAGGUCUGUGAUGCCCUUAGAUGUCCGGGGCUGCACGCGCGCUACACUGGCGAAAUCAGCGUGCUUUUCCUAUCUCGAAAGAGAUUGGUAAACCGAUGAAAAUUUGCCGUGAUUGGGAUCCGGAAAUUGCAAUUAUUUUCCGUGAACGAGGAAUUCCAAGUAAGUGCGAGUCAUCAACUCGCGUUG
RNAcentral lists this ribosomal RNA (590 nucleotides) under Aphelenchus avenae. RNAcentral's name for it is "SSU rRNA". It matches the Rfam family "Eukaryotic small subunit ribosomal RNA", at positions 1026 to 1643 of the family's 1831-position model. The record is from RNAcentral. Lineage: Eukaryota; Metazoa; Nematoda; Chromadorea; Rhabditida; Aphelenchidae.